This 312-nucleotide long non-coding RNA is filed under the name Zonotrichia albicollis (white-throated sparrow). RNAcentral's name for it is "lncRNA (ENSZALG00000003162.1)". Lineage: Eukaryota; Metazoa; Chordata; Aves; Passeriformes; Passerellidae. The record is from RNAcentral.
CAUCCCAGUCCCUCCAGUUUCCCAUUCCCAGUUUCCCCAGUACCUGCACGGGGUACGUGCGGUCGGGGUCAAAGGCGCUCAGGUCCCAUUCCCAUCCCAGUUUCCCAUCCCAGUCUAUCCCAGUCCAUCCCAAUCCAUCCCAGUCCAUCCCAGUCCAUCCCAGUUUCCCAUCCCAGUCCAUCCCAGUUUCCCCAGUUCAUACCUGCAGCGGGUAUGUGCGGUCGGGGUCGAAGGCGCUCAGGUCCCAUUCCCAUCCCAGUCCAUCCCAGUCCAUCCCAGUUUACCCAGUCCAUCCCAGUUUCCCAUCCCAGU